CACUGACAUUAGAUACCCGCGUAGUCCCAGCCGUAAACAAUGUGCGUUAGGUGUGUCGGUAACCACGCGUUACUGAUGCGCCGAAGAGAAAUCGUGAAACGCACCACCUGGGAAGUACGGUCGCAAGGCUGAAACUUAAAGGAAUUGGCGGGGAGCACCACAACAGGUGGAGCCUGCGGUUUAAUUGGAUUCAACGCCGGACAUCUCACCGGAUAAGACAGCUGAAUGAUUGUCAAUCUGAAGGUUUUACAUGACUAGCUG
This 261-nucleotide ribosomal RNA is filed under the name uncultured archaeon. Its description in RNAcentral is "partial 16S ribosomal RNA". It matches the Rfam family "Archaeal small subunit ribosomal RNA", at positions 720 to 982 of the family's 1478-position model. The record is from RNAcentral.